UAAGGAAUUGACGGAAGGGCACCACCAGGAAUGGAGCCUGCGGCUUAAUUUGACUCAACACGGGAAAACUUACCCGGCCCGGACACAGGAAGGAUUGACAGAUUAAGAGCUCUUUCUUGAUUCUGUGGGUGGUGGUGCAUGGCCGUUCUUAGUUGGUGGAGCGAUUUGUCUGGUUAAUUCCGAUAACGAACGAGACUCUAGCCUACUAAAUAGACGCCUUCCGGUCAUUUACUGCCGGACGUUCUUCUUAGAGGGACAAGCGGCAUUUAGCCGCACGAGACAGAGCAAUAACAGGUCUGUGAUGCCCUUAGAUGUCCGGGGCCGCACGCGCGCUACAUUGAAGGAAUCGGCGUGUGCUUUCCCUGUCCGACAGGACUGGGUAACCCGUUGAACCUCCUUCGUGCUGGGGAUUGGAGAUUGUAAUUGUUCUCCAUGAACGAGGAAUUCCCAGUAAGCACAGAUCAUCAGUCUGUGUUGAUUACGUCCCUGCCCUUUGUACACACCGCCCGUCGCUACUACUGAUUGGAUGAUUUAGUGAGGUCUUCGGACUGGCAUCCGAGUCUGCUUUCGGGUGGUUUCGGCGUGCCGGAAAGAUGACCAAACUUGAUCAUCUAGAAGAAGUAAAAGUCGUAACAAGGUUUCCGUA
RNAcentral lists this ribosomal RNA (646 nucleotides) under Oxyopes birmanicus. RNAcentral's name for it is "SSU rRNA". It matches the Rfam family "Eukaryotic small subunit ribosomal RNA", at positions 1146 to 1807 of the family's 1831-position model. Lineage: Eukaryota; Metazoa; Arthropoda; Arachnida; Araneae; Oxyopidae. The record is from RNAcentral.